Molecule: long non-coding RNA, 942 nt
Organism: Micropterus dolomieu (smallmouth bass)
Lineage: Eukaryota; Metazoa; Chordata; Actinopteri; Centrarchiformes; Centrarchidae
Exons: 3
Source: RefSeq, a predicted model, not a curated record
ACAACGGAACCGGGCUCAGCAGCCUCCCAGUGAUCAUGGCUGGACCUGGACCAAACACAGACACCAAGACAACAGAUAAAACAGUAGUGAUUUACAGGGGCUCCAACCAGGACUCUGACUCCUGGACGACGAAGACACAGCGGGUUCAGGCAGGCGUCAAGUGGGAGGGCAGCAAGAGGCAGGUGGGGCAUCAGAGAGCCAGCGACAGCAUGUAGAGACAGAAUAUUUUCACGUACAACUCGAUGAAUUAAGGGAUUAAACCAGAGUUGGUGAUUGUUGGAACAGUGGAAAAACUAACAAAGAUGGUGUUGUCCCCACACUCCAUUAACUCUACGAUUUGCCCUUCAUGCCUCAUUGUCAUUCUGUGGAACCUGGUCCAUCAUUUGUCCACUAGACUCUUAACAUCUUUCUCCUCGGUCUCCGCUGUGUUGUUGCUGUCUGUGUGAACGGCUGGUAUACCUGCACAUAUACACACACAGACCUAACCAGCUGGCUUACAAUCCCAUUGAUCCCUGCUCUUUAGCCUACUGGGAUAAAAAGGUCAGUCUAAUUGAAACAUUAGCGGCCUCAGGAGAGCUGAACUGGGCUGAACUGUGACAUUCACUGAGUCCAGAGACCAGGUCGUCUCCUUUUGCUCUCUGUCUUCUCCCUCCGUAGGACACUGUGCCGCUAAUGGUCUCGUCACUGCAAUGCAACCACUGUGUCUCACAUCCACAGCUCCCUUUUCUUGCUCUCUGCUGUCACUUCUGUGCUAACAAAUGUUUGGAGGAACUUUCUUGAAGGACACCAAGUUGCUGCUGCUCAUCCUCAGUGCUUAAUUACACCUCAGGGUCAUCUUUGACUCGGCUGACAGACAGAAACCGAUGAGCGUGGCUUCUCAAACUUUUGUAAAACCUCUGACCAGGACUAAAUUCAAUAAAAUUCUGGUUUGCAGUCCAUUAA